GGGAGCAUAGCUCAGCGGCUAGAGCAAACUCUUGAUAAGGGUUAGGUCACAGGUUCAAAUCCUGUUGUUCCCA
This 73-nucleotide transfer RNA is filed under the name Synechococcus phage B23. Its description in RNAcentral is "tRNA-Ile". It matches the Rfam family "tRNA". From Rfam's summary of the family: Transfer RNA (tRNA) molecules are approximately 80 nucleotides in length. Their secondary structure includes four short double-helical elements and three loops (D, anti-codon, and T loops). RNAcentral also lists the same sequence under 1 other name. Lineage: Duplodnaviria; Heunggongvirae; Uroviricota; Caudoviricetes; Pantevenvirales; Kyanoviridae. The record is from RNAcentral.